GAUUUAUAAAUGGUGACAACUGUUGUUAAAAUCCUUACCAUAACUACAGCAGGAAAAUAAAAGUGAGCAACAAUCUAACAUAACUUAAUACAAGACAGAAUGAACAGUCAAGACAACGUGGCACAACUUUUUUGGGGAAAAACAUACUUCACAAAACUCAGAUGUUCUUGUAUGUUCUCUUUUCCUUUUUUUUCCUCCCAAAUAUAUAUAUAUUUUUACAAAAGCACUCUGCAUUUUGUGUUGACUUAACCACCUUUGUGAAGAUACACAUCAUGCAUGCAUCCACACACACAAAAACACCCCAGAACAAGGCCCAGUUGCUAGAACAGGCUUUAUCAGCAUGUUCCAUUACACCUGCCGCUGAUGCCAUCUAAAUAUAGGAGAACAGAAUUUAUUUUUCCAUUAAAAUGUCAGAGCUAGUUCAUUACUUUCCAAUACGUUAAUUGCAAUUUAGGAGGGAUACAAACUAAGGGAAGAUGCCAAAUACCCAGAUUUCAUAUUUUUUCAGACAACAAAAAAAAAAAAGUAUGAUCCAACAUCUGCGAAACAAAAACAAUGGUAAAAUCACAGCAAGAUAAUCCCCGAAUAAGGUGAAAUCCAUCUGCCAUUUGAACAAGUUAAUAAGAAUACAAAUAAAACCCUAGCAUACACAGUAAAAUUCCAAAGACAUCCCCUGGCUUAGUUUGGCAACAUUGAUUAUUACAUGGCCAAUUAUGUUAGGUCAUAAACAGAAUGUCCUCAUUAGAAGGAUGUUGAUUGUUAGAAGCCAAAAAGGAUACAUUUUAGACAUUUAAUUUGGUUAAUUACAAAAUGUUACUCUAACUAUAUAAUCUACAUUCAAAGUGCUGAUCAGUUAUCAUAAUGUAUGCAGAUUAAAUUAACAAAUGGAGAAAUCCUCCACUAUCUCAGGGUGACACUAUCUCAGCCAAGGCCUUGACACUACAGCAAGAGGAACAAAAAGCUAGCACAUGUUCCUCCACUGAGUGUUAAGGCCAAGAAGGUUGGAACCCAAUCCUAUGAUUUUUACCCAAUUCUUCUCUGAAGGUAAAUCAGACCUUCAGACCAACGUUUCACCUAAAUCCAUCAAUGUCAACAGAAGACUUCUACAAAGUGAAUAUUUGCAUAUUUCUAGUUAAAAUUGGGCCCCGCGUCAAUCUCACUCUGAAGCUCUCCUACAGUACAAACAAGUGGUCACUGCCUAAUGGCCUGUUCUGUGCAAUAACCCAAUGAGAAAGAGACUGCCCAGAAAAACUAAACCUUAAAAAUAACAUUUACGCUAAGCAGCGGCAUUCAUUCAAGCACUGAGAUGGUAAGCAGGUGUAAUGUAAAGCAUUAACUGUAUAAACUGUGAUUAACAGAAAUUGAAAAGACAACAGAAAAGGUAUAGCCUUUGUUCAGUGUUGGUUACCAAACCCACCAAGUCUAUAGUGAGAAAGACACCCCGCCCCCGAACAGUCCAUCAUUAACAUAAGACUUAAGACUCAACUUUGAAAAUGAAAACAGACUAGACCUUAACGGACAGGGAUGCAUAUUCUCAUGAUUUAACCGUCAACUCACAAGUUCCAGCCACCCAUCUGUCCACCCCAUGUGGGAAUUCUCAUUAGUGUAACUCAACAGGGAGACUACAAGAAAAAUCAUGUGAAUCAACCUCGCAAUACUCCAAAAUCAAGUUAAGACAUUUGUUUUGUGGGGGCUUCAAAGCCUCCCCUGAUAUUUGGCUGCAUUCUAGAAUUACAACAGAAAACCCAACUUUAAAAUUUUUGUUCCAACAUCUAGAAGGCUCUUAUGUCAAGCAAUUUCCAUUGAUUUCAGUCUGAAUUCUAUAUUUUGCAGAGGUAACACUUCAGAGUCCAUACAAUGUGAACAUUUUGUAAUCCUAAACAAAUCUGAUUUAAUAGUUUAUCUCCCUUGAAAGACUAAGGGAGGAGAGGCCAUCUCUCUCCAAUUUCCUGUGACUCCAAAGAUUGGGGGAGGACACCGAAGGUGGCAACCAAAAGACUGACUGAGCAUCCCACACGACACCAAGCUUGUCUCUGAACAUGGGAAUUGAGGAAGAAAUGCCUGUGACACUGGCUGACGUUUCCUGUCAAAAUGCUUGUUCCCGCACUAUUCAACCGUCCUGUAAUGUCCCAACUGACAGCAUCUCUAUAAGAGCUACUGUACAGUCUCCCCUAAAUAGCACAAGCUGUCCAGAUGAAAAGACUUGCACAUGAGUCUCAGGGAGGAGAAGGAGCAUUUCCGAGUGUCCACCAGGACACUGUUACAUGAGGCAGCAGCCAGAAGACGACGCAGCCCUCAGUCAUGACUUAACGGAACUGGCCCAUCCUUGGUCUGAUCAUAAAACACUACUCUUUUUGGAUC
Molecule: long non-coding RNA, 2361 nt
Organism: Esox lucius (northern pike)
Lineage: Eukaryota; Metazoa; Chordata; Actinopteri; Esociformes; Esocidae
Source: Ensembl